Molecule: ribosomal RNA, 316 nt
Filed under: uncultured bacterium
Lineage: Bacteria
Description: bacterial SSU rRNA
Rfam family: Bacterial small subunit ribosomal RNA
Source: RNAcentral
GAUGAACGCUGGGCGGCGUGCUUAACACAUGCAAGUCGAGGGGCAGCAUGGUCUUAGCUUGCUAAGGCCGAUGGCGACCGGCGCACGGGUGAGUAACACGUAUCCAACCUGCCGUCUACUCUUGGACAGCCUUCUGAAAGGAAGAUUAAUACAAGAUGGCAUCAUGAGUCCACAUGUUCACAUGAUUAAAGGUAUUCCGGUAGACGAUGGGGAUGCGUUCCAUUAGAUAGUAGGCGGGGUAACGGCCCACCUAGUCUUCGAUGGAUAGGGGUUCUGAGAGGAAGGUCCCCCACAUUGGAACUGAGACACGGUCCAA